This 300-nucleotide ribosomal RNA is filed under the name uncultured bacterium. RNAcentral's name for it is "bacterial SSU rRNA". It matches the Rfam family "Bacterial small subunit ribosomal RNA", at positions 507 to 793 of the family's 1533-position model. The record is from RNAcentral.
GCCAGCAGCCGCGGUAAUACGGAGGGUGCGAGCGUUAAUCGGAAUUACUGGGCGUAAAGACGCAUGCAGGUGGUUUGUUUAAGUUCAGAUGUGAAAGACCCGGGGCCGUCAACCUACCGGAAUAGCAUUUGUAAACUAGGCAGACUAGAGUACUGUAGAGGGGGGUAGGAAUUUCAGGUGUAGCGGUGAAAUAGCGUAGAGAUCUGAAGGAAUACCGGUGGCGAAGGCGGCCCCCUCGGACAGAUACUGACACUCAGAUGCGAAAGCGUGGGGAGCAAACAGGAUUAGAUACCCUGGUAG